CCUACGGGUGGCAGCAGUGAGGAAUAUUGGGCAAUGGUCGGGAGACUGAACCAGCCAAGCCGCGUGAGGGAGGAAGGUACAGAGUAUCGUAAACCUCUUUUGUCAGGGAACAAAGACUGGGACGCGUCCCCGGAUGAGUGUACCUGAAGAAAAAGCAUCGGCAAACUCCGUGCCAGCAGCCGCGGUAAUACGGAGGAUGCGAGCGUUAUCCGGAGUUAUGGGGUUAAAAGGGUGCGCAGGGGGUGUGUUAAGUCAGAGGUCAAAGCCCGGGGCCAACCCCCGGCCCGCCGUUGAAACUGGCAGUCUCGAGUUGGAGAGAAGUAUGCGGAAUGCGCGGUGUAGCGGUGAAAUGCAUAGAUAUCACGCAGAACUCCGAUUGCGAAGGCAGCAUGCCGGCUCCACACUGACGCUGAGGCACGAAAGCGUGGGUAUCGAACAGGAUUAGAUACCCCUGUAGUC
This 459-nucleotide ribosomal RNA is filed under the name uncultured bacterium. RNAcentral's name for it is "partial 16S ribosomal RNA". It matches the Rfam family "Bacterial small subunit ribosomal RNA", at positions 338 to 795 of the family's 1533-position model. The record is from RNAcentral.